RNAcentral lists this ribosomal RNA (420 nucleotides) under bacterium. RNAcentral's name for it is "partial 16S ribosomal RNA". It matches the Rfam family "Bacterial small subunit ribosomal RNA", at positions 355 to 776 of the family's 1533-position model. The record is from RNAcentral.
UGGGGGAUAUUGCACAAUGGGCGAAAGCCUGAUGCAGCGACGCCGCGUGGGGGAUGAAGGCUUUCGGGUUGUAAACCUCUUUCGUUAUCGAACAAGGCCCGCUUAGGGUGGGUUGAGGGUAGGUGGAGAAGAAGCGCCGGCUAACUACGUGCCAGCAGCCGCGGUAAUACGUAGGGCGCGAGCGUUGUCCGGAAUUAUUGGGCGUAAAGGGCUUGUAGGCGGCUUGUUGCGCCUGCUGUGAAAACGCGGGGCUUAACUUCGCGCGUGCAGUGGGUACGGGCAGGCUUGAGUGUGGUAGGGGUGACUGGAAUUCCAGGUGUAGCGGUGGAAUGCGCAGAUAUCUGGAGGAACACCGAUGGCGAAGGCAGGUCACUGGGCCAUUACUGACGCUGAGGAGCGAAAGCAUGGGUAGCGAACAGG